Molecule: ribosomal RNA, 119 nt
Filed under: Vigna radiata var. radiata (mung bean)
Lineage: Eukaryota; Viridiplantae; Streptophyta; Magnoliopsida; Fabales; Fabaceae
Source: RNAcentral
AGGUGCGAUCAUAGCAGCAGUAAUGCACCUAAUCCCAUCAGAACUCCGUAGUGAAGCGUGGUUGGGCGAGAGUAGUUCUAGGAUGGAUGACCUCCUCGGAAGUCCUCGUGUUCCACCUN